RNAcentral lists this non-coding RNA (38 nucleotides) under Canis lupus familiaris (dog). RNAcentral's name for it is "XIST RNA A repeat". It matches the Rfam family "XIST RNA A repeat". Lineage: Eukaryota; Metazoa; Chordata; Mammalia; Carnivora; Canidae. RNAcentral also lists the same sequence under 1 other name. The record is from Rfam by way of RNAcentral.
UUGCCCAUCGGGGCCUCGGAUACCUGCUUUUAAUUUUU